RNAcentral lists this unclassified non-coding RNA (434 nucleotides) under Hevea brasiliensis (rubber tree). Lineage: Eukaryota; Viridiplantae; Streptophyta; Magnoliopsida; Malpighiales; Euphorbiaceae. The record is from RNAcentral.
GUUACAGGUUACAAAUCAAACGUUUCAGAAUCCAUAGCAGGCGAAUUCCAACAGUAUGUUUUCAAAUAACUUCGACACCUUUUCUUCACUUCAAUCUUGUACUGAGCUCCAGUGGCUUUAUCCAUCUCUUCAUAGAAGGUGAUCACGUCACCGGGCUUCAGAUCUUUCCUGCGAACAAACUGAAACCAGUGCUCCCCAAAAACAACUGGUUUCGAAAAGCCGGUGGCAGGAAUUCUGCAGCGAAAUGUCCAGACAAUACCAGCGUCAUCUUUAACGUGCAAAAUGAUUUCAUGGCCCUUUUGAGCUGGUGGGAAAGCUUUUAUACUGUUUUCUGGGAUAGACAAUCUUCUCAAAAGAUCACUGUUGGUAAGUAUUUUUGAGAAGAUUGCCAUGGCUAACUGUUCUGCUUAUGUAUGGAGAAUUAAGCUAAUGCG